GUCAUACUACGGUGCAUCGUGGUGGAAAGUAAACGAUGACCCCCAGGGAACUCUGGGGUAAAAUACGUAUCAAAUUGCAAAAUCAAUCCUGCCCUGGGGCGACCCCGGGCCGGGUUUCUUU
Molecule: regulatory RNA element, 121 nt
Organism: Erwinia sp. Leaf53
Lineage: Bacteria; Pseudomonadati; Pseudomonadota; Gammaproteobacteria; Enterobacterales; Erwiniaceae
Rfam family: Enterobacteria greA leader
Source: Rfam